GUUUGAUCAUGGCUCAGAUUGAACGCUGGCGGCAGGCUUAACACAUGCAAGUCGAGCGGGGAAGAGUAGCUUGCUACUUUACCUAGCGGCGGACGGGUGAGUAAUGCUUAGGAAUCUGCCUAUUAGUGGGGGACAACAUCUCGAAAGGGAUGCUAAUACCGCAUACGUCCUACGGGAGAAAGCAGGGGACCUUCGGGCCUUGCGCUAAUAGAUGAGCCUAAGUCGGAUUAGCUAGUUGGUGGGGUAAAGGCCUACCAAGGCGACGAUCUGUAGCGGGUCUGAGAGGAUGAUCCGCCACACUGGGACUGAGACACCGCCCAGACUCCUACGGGAGGCAGCAGUGGGGAAUAUUGGACAAUGGGGGGAACCCUGAUCCAGCCAUGCCGCGUGUGUGAAGAAGGCCUUUUGGUUGUAAAGCACUUUAAGCGAGGAGGAGGCUACCGAGAUUAAUACUCUUGGAUAGUGGACGUUACUCGCAGAAUAAGCACCGGCUAACUCUGUGCCAGCAGCCGCGGUAAUACAGAGGGUGCAAGCCUUAAUCNGAUUUACUGGG
RNAcentral lists this ribosomal RNA (553 nucleotides) under uncultured bacterium. RNAcentral's name for it is "bacterial SSU rRNA". It matches the Rfam family "Bacterial small subunit ribosomal RNA", at positions 11 to 558 of the family's 1533-position model. The record is from RNAcentral.